Molecule: ribosomal RNA, 472 nt
Filed under: uncultured bacterium
Lineage: Bacteria
Description: partial 16S ribosomal RNA
Rfam family: Bacterial small subunit ribosomal RNA
Source: RNAcentral
GACGAACGCUGGCGGCGUGCUUAACACAUGCAAGUCGAGCGCUGAAGCUUGGUGCUUGCACUGGGUGGAUGAGUGGCGAACGGGUGAGUAAUACGUGAGUAACCUGCCCUUGACUCUGGGAUAAGCCUGGGAAACUGGGUCUAAUACUGGAUACGACAUGUCACCGCAUGGUGGUGUGUGGAAAGGGUUUUACUGGUUUUGGAUGGGCUCACGGCCUAUCAGCUUGUUGGUGGGGUAAUGGCUCACCAAGGCGACGACGGGUAGCCGGCCUGAGAGGGUGACCGGCCACACUGGGACUGAGACACGGCCCAGACUCCUACGGGAGGCAGCAGUGGGGAAUAUUGCACAAUGGGCGGAAGCCUGAUGCAGCGACGCCGCGUGAGGGAUGACGGCCUUCGGGUUGUAAACCUCUUUCAGCACGGAAGAAGCGAAAGUGACGGUACGUGCAGAAGAAGCGCCGGCUAACUACGUG